RNAcentral lists this ribosomal RNA (497 nucleotides) under uncultured bacterium. RNAcentral's name for it is "partial 16S ribosomal RNA". It matches the Rfam family "Bacterial small subunit ribosomal RNA", at positions 28 to 507 of the family's 1533-position model. The record is from RNAcentral.
GAUGAACGCUGGCGGCGUGCCUAAUACAUGCAAGUCGAGCGAACAGAUGAGGAGCUUGCUCCUCUGACGUUAGCGGCGGACGGGUGAGUAACACGUGGAUAACCUACCUAUAAGACUGGGAUAACUUCGGGAAACCGGAGCUAAUACCGGAUAAUAUAUUGAACCGCAUGGUUCAAUAGUGAAAGACGGUUUUGCUGUCACUUAUAGAUGGAUCCGCGCCGCAUUAGCUAGUUGGUAAGGUAACGGCUUACCAAGGCAACGAUGCGUAGCCGACCUGAGAGGGUGAUCGGCCACACUGGAACUGAGACACGGUCCAGACUCCUACGAGAGGCAGCAGUAGGGAAUCUUCCGCAAUGGGCGAAAGCCUGACGGAGCAACGCCGCGUGAGUGAUGAAGGUCUUCGGAUCGUAAAACUCUGUUAUUAGGGAAGAACAAAUGUGUAAGUAACUAUGCACGUCUUGACGGUACCUAAUCAGAAAGCCACGGCUAACUACGUG